AAAGCUUGCUUUUUAAGCUUAGUGGCGAACGGGUGAGUAACGCGUGGGUAACCUGCCUCAUACAGGGGAAUAACAGUUGGAAACGGAUGCUAAAACCGGAUAGGUAGCAGACAAGCAUUUGACUGCUAUUAAAGUGGCCUUGGCCAUGAACAUGGAUGGACCUGCGGUGCAUUAGCUGGUUGGUGAGGUAACGGCCCACCAAGGCGACGAUGCAUAGCCGGCCUGAGAGGGCGGACGGCCACAUUGGGACUGAGACACGGCCCAGACUCC
This 270-nucleotide ribosomal RNA is filed under the name uncultured bacterium. RNAcentral's name for it is "partial 16S ribosomal RNA". It matches the Rfam family "Bacterial small subunit ribosomal RNA", at positions 75 to 339 of the family's 1533-position model. The record is from RNAcentral.